RNAcentral lists this ribosomal RNA (725 nucleotides) under Plasmodium ovale (malaria parasite P. ovale). RNAcentral describes it as "SSU rRNA". It matches the Rfam family "Eukaryotic small subunit ribosomal RNA", at positions 191 to 864 of the family's 1831-position model. Lineage: Eukaryota; Apicomplexa; Aconoidasida; Haemosporida; Plasmodiidae. The record is from RNAcentral.
UGUCUUACGUAUGUACUUGUUAAGCCUUUAAGAGAAAAGUUUACAACUUAAGGAAUUAUAACAAAGAAGUAACACAUAAUAAGUUUACCUUAUUUAGUGUGUAUCAAUCGAGUUUCUGACCUAUCAGCUUUUGAUGUUAGGGUAUUGGCCUAACAUGGCUAUGACGGGUAACGGGGAAUUAGAGUUCGAUUCCGGAGAGGGAGCCUGAGAAAUAGCUACCACAUCUAAGGAAGGCAGCAGGCGCGUAAAUUACCCAAUUCUAAAGAAGAGAGGUAGUGACAAGAAAUAACAAUACAAGGCCAUUUCAUGGUUUUGUAAUUGGAAUGAUGGGAAUUUAAAACCUUCCCAAAAUUCAAUUGGAGGGCAAGUCUGGUGCCAGCAGCCGCGGUAAUUCCAGCUCCAAUAGCGUAUAUUAAAAUUGUUGCAGUUAAAACGCUCGUAGUUGAAUUUCAAAGAAUCAAUAUUUUAAGUAAUGCUUUUGGUUUAAGAUGCUUAGGCAAUACAACGUAUCUGCUCUUUGCAUUCCUUAUCCAAAAUGUGUUCUUAUUAUAAAAAGGAUUCUUUUUAAAAUCUCCUUUACUUUCUUGUACUGGAGAUUUUGUUACUUUGAGUAAAUUAGAGUGUUCAAAGCAAACAGUUAAAGCAUUUUACUGCGUUUGAAUACUACAGCAUGGAAUAACAAAAUUGAACAAGUCAAAACUCUGUUCUUUUUUCUUAUUUUGACU